UACGGAGGAUGCGAGCGUUAUCCGGAUUUAUUGGGUUUAAAGGGUGCGUAGGCGGCGAGUUAAGUCAGCGGUAAAAGCCCGGGGCUCAACCCCGGCCCGCCGUUGAAACUGGCGGCCUCGAGUGGGCGAGAAGUAUGCGGAAUGCGUGGUGUAGCGGUGAAAUGCAUAGAUAUCGCGCAGAACUCCGAUUGCGAAGGCAGCGUACCGGCUCCACACUGACGCUGAGGCACGAAAGCGUGGGUAUCGAACAGG
RNAcentral lists this ribosomal RNA (252 nucleotides) under uncultured Bacteroidales bacterium. RNAcentral describes it as "partial 16S ribosomal RNA". It matches the Rfam family "Bacterial small subunit ribosomal RNA", at positions 524 to 776 of the family's 1533-position model. The record is from RNAcentral. Lineage: Bacteria; Pseudomonadati; Bacteroidota; Bacteroidia; Bacteroidales.